CCUACGGGUGGCAGCAGUGAGGAAUAUUGGUAAAUGGACGCAAGUCUGAACCAGCCAUGCCGCGUGCAGGAAGACGGCUCUAUGAGUUGUAAACUGCUUUUGUACGAGGGUAAACGCAGAUACGCGUAUCUGUCUGAAAGUAUCGUACGAAUAAGGAUCGGCUAACUCCGUGCCAGCAGCCGCGGUAAUACGGAGGAUUCAAGCGUUAUCCGGAUUUAUUGGGUUUAAAGGGUGCGUAGGCGGUCGGAUAAGUUAGAGGUGAAAUCCCGAGGCUCAACUUCGGAAUUGCCUCUGAUAUUGUUCGGCGAGAGAGUAGUUGCGGUAGGCGGAAUGUAUGGUGUAGCGGUGAAAUGCUUAGAGAUCAUACAGAACACCGAUUGCGAAGGCAGCUUACCAAGCUACUUCUGACGUUGAGGCACGAAAGCGUGGGGAGCAAACAGGAUUAGAGACCCUAGUAGUC
Molecule: ribosomal RNA, 460 nt
Filed under: uncultured bacterium
Lineage: Bacteria
Description: partial 16S ribosomal RNA
Rfam family: Bacterial small subunit ribosomal RNA
Source: RNAcentral